CCGCGCAGGGGCCGGGGGGGGCCGGGGCUGGGGCCGGGGCCGGGGCCGGGGCCGGGGCCGGGACCGGUGGCCCCCGGGUUGGAGGGGUCCCCGGGCACCCGGAGCAUCCAUCCCGGGGGGGCGGCUGCCGCGGCCAGGUACCUGCCCGAGGAUGAGCUGUGACUCGUGACCCGAUGGGAACCUAAGCCCAGCUGUACACAUCUGCACCCCAGAGAUCCACGUUUAGGUAAAAUAAUCCCCACUCCUGGCUUUCAGGUCUCGUGUCAUGCCAGACAAGAGCCAAGCACUCAGCAGCAUCAGGUGCUAACAGGGCAGCUGCUUGGAGGGAGGCGCUGUCACCUUGACCUCGCACACACAUUUGUGAGGAUGCCAUAAGAAAGUGAGGUCUUCAAAGGAAGAGACAAACACACUGCUGCUCAAUGGGGAGGACUUCGGGAGCAAACCCAAAGGUCUGUGGCCGUGUGUGGAGUCCCCAGGAGGAUGCAGUGGGACAGCCAUUGCAGAGCUUCAGAGUGGGAAAGAGAGGAAACUGCAGCCUUCACACUGAUCCUUGCCUCCCAGCCAUUUUGGUGUCUAUUUUCACAGCCAGAUCCUCAUCUGGUGUAAAUCAGUGAAGCUUCACCAAAGUCAAGUUGCUCCUGGAUGCCAUUGUCCAGUCUUCCAGAGUCAAAACUGAUGUUUUAUAGAAGCCCGUGGUUGCACAUAU
Long non-coding RNA from Cygnus olor (mute swan), 706 nucleotides. RefSeq lists it as uncharacterized. The record is from RefSeq and is a predicted model, not a curated record. Lineage: Eukaryota; Metazoa; Chordata; Aves; Anseriformes; Anatidae. The transcript has 5 exons.